RNAcentral lists this RNase P RNA (374 nucleotides) under Actinomycetales bacterium. RNAcentral's name for it is "RNase P RNA component class A". It matches the Rfam family "Bacterial RNase P class A". From Rfam's summary of the family: Ribonuclease P (RNase P) is a ubiquitous endoribonuclease, found in archaea, bacteria and eukarya as well as chloroplasts and mitochondria. Lineage: Bacteria; Bacillati; Actinomycetota; Actinomycetes; Actinomycetales. The record is from RNAcentral.
UGAGUCGGCCGGGCGGCCGCGUCAGGAAACUGCCGAGGAACGUCCGGGCUCCACAGGGCAGGGCGGUGGGUAACACCCACCCGGGGUGACCCGCGGGAACAGUGCAACAGAAAGCAGACCGCCGAUCCGCGCGAGCGGAUCGGCAAGGGUGAAACGGUGGUGCAAGAGACCACCAGCGCACCCGGUGACGGGUGCGGCUGGGCAAACCCCGCCCGGAGCAAGACCAAGCAGCAGGCGCACGAGGGCUGCCCGCCCGAGCCUGCGGGUAGGUCGCUGGAGGGCUGCGGCAACACAGCCCCGAGAUGGAUGGUCGCCACCGCGGCGGGGGAGACCCCGCCACGGCACAGAACCCGGCGUACAGGCCGGCUCAUUCG